This 402-nucleotide ribosomal RNA is filed under the name Actinomycetes bacterium. Its description in RNAcentral is "Actinobacteria bacterium partial 16S ribosomal RNA". It matches the Rfam family "Bacterial small subunit ribosomal RNA", at positions 355 to 776 of the family's 1533-position model. Lineage: Bacteria; Bacillati; Actinomycetota; Actinomycetes. The record is from RNAcentral.
UGGGGAAUUUUGCACAAUGGGGGCAACCCUGAUGCAGCGACGCCGCGUGAUUUAGAAGGCCUUCGGGUUGUAAAAAUCUUUUGUAUGGGAAGAAAAUGACAGUACCAUACGAAUAAGGACCGGCUAAUUACGUGCCAGCAGCCGCGGUAAUACGUAAGGUCCGAGCGUUGUCCGGAAUCAUUGGGCGUAAAGGGUACGUAGGCGGAUAAGCAAGUUAGAAGUGAAAUCCUAUAGCUCAACUAUAGUAAGCUUUUAAAACUGCUCAUCUUGAGGUAUGGAAGGGAAAGUGGAAUUCCUAGUGUAGCGGUGAAAUGCGCAGAUAUUAGGAGGAAUACCGGUGGCGAAGGCGACUUCCUGGCCAUAAACUGACGCUGAGGUACGAAAGCGUGGGUAGCAAACAGG